Molecule: unclassified non-coding RNA, 329 nt
Filed under: soil metagenome
Description: partial contains 5.8S ribosomal RNA, internal transcribed spacer 2, and large subunit ribosomal RNA
Rfam family: 5.8S ribosomal RNA (bases 1-120)
Source: RNAcentral
GAUGAAGAACGUAGUGAAAUGCGAUAAGUAAUGUGAAUUGCAGAAUUCAGUGAAUCAUCGAAUUUUUGAACGCACCUUGCGCCCCUUGGUAUUCCGGGGGGCAUGCCUGUCCGAGCGUCAUUACAACCCUCAAGCUCAGCUUGGUGUUGGGCCCCGCCGCCCCGGCGGGCCCUAAAGUCAGUGGCGGUGCCGUCCGGCUCCGAGCGUAGUAAUUCUUCUCGCUCUGGAGGUCCGGUCGUGUGCUCGCCAGCAACCCCCAAUUUUUUUCAGGUUGACCUCGGAUCAGGUAGGGAUACCCGCUGAACUUAAGCAUAUCAAUAAGCGGAGGA